UACGUAGGAGGCAAGCGUUAUCCGGAAUGACUGGGCGUAAAGGGUGCGUAGGUGGUUUGGCAAGUUAGUAGCGUAACCCCGGGGCUCAACCUCGGAACUACUACUACAACUGUCGGACUUGAGUGCAGGAGGGGCAAUUGGAAUUCCUAGUGUAGCGGUGGAAUGCGUAGACAUUAGGAGGAACACCAGUGGCGAAGGCGAAUUGCUGGACUGUAACUGACACUGAGGCACGAAAGCGUGGGGAGCAAACAGG
RNAcentral lists this ribosomal RNA (253 nucleotides) under uncultured bacterium. RNAcentral describes it as "partial 16S ribosomal RNA". It matches the Rfam family "Bacterial small subunit ribosomal RNA", at positions 524 to 776 of the family's 1533-position model. The record is from RNAcentral.